UGGGGAAUCUUGCGCAAUGCGCGAAAGCGUGACGCAGCAACGCCGCGUGGGGGAAGAAGGCCUUCGGGUUGUAAACCCCUUUCAGGAGGGACGAAGGUUCGGCAGUGAAUAGCUGUCCGGACUGACGGUACCUCCACAAGAAGCCCCGGCUAACUACGUGCCAGCAGCCGCGGUAAUACGUAGGGGGCUAGCGUUGUCCGGAAUCAUUGGGCGUAAAGCGCGCGUAGGCGGCCCGGUAAGUCCGUUGUAAAAGUCAAAGGCUCAACCUUUGAAAGCCGAUGGAUACUGUCGGGCUAGAGUCCGGAAGAGGCGAGUAGAAUUCCUGGUGUAGCGGUGGAAUGCGCAGAUAUCAGGAGGAAUACCCAUAGCGAAGGCAGCUCGCUGGGACGGUACUGACGCUGAGGCGCGAAAGCGUGGGGAGCGACCAGGAUUAGAUACCCUGGUAGUCCACGCCGUAAACGAUGGGCACUAGGUGUGGGAGGUGUCGACUCCUCCCGUGCCGACGCUAACG
This 511-nucleotide ribosomal RNA is filed under the name uncultured Actinomycetes bacterium. Its description in RNAcentral is "bacterial SSU rRNA". It matches the Rfam family "Bacterial small subunit ribosomal RNA", at positions 355 to 857 of the family's 1533-position model. The record is from RNAcentral. Lineage: Bacteria; Bacillati; Actinomycetota; Actinomycetes.